CUUGCUUGGUAGCAUGGUUUGCUGGAACGCUAGGAAGCUAAGCGAGUUGAAAGCAAGUGCUUACGUACAUGGUCAGAGAAGCCCUAAGGAGAAGAGUAACUAUGGCAAUGACACCCUACAGAGCCCAUGGCUGCAGUAUCUUUGGACAAAAACAACAUCAAAGCCAGAACAAAAUGACACUUUGCCUUAAGGCCGAUAGCCAUUAUGGUGAAAAGCAUUUAUCCGCCAUUAGUGUCUGGCAGGUCUCCUUUCAGCCUAAAACCACCCUUAUUAAAAUACAGACCUCUUUCUGCACCCAAAUGCACGUUUGACCUCCCGGGCUUGACAAGAGGGUGGUUCUGAUUCCCCCCUUCCCGUUCCUCUGGGCACAGGUUGGUUACAGUGAUGACAAAUCCACACAGAGGAUCAAUGCCAUUGCCCCAGUCUCUCUCCCAGGGGACAGAAUGACAUAAAAGGAGGUUUGAGUGUGUUGGUGUAACAGCUGACCCCUGUGAUAGGGAACCCCUACUGCGGCUGAUGGAGCAAGACAUCUGGGUCAGUUCCUGAUGGACCGGGGAUAUUGGCCUGCCUGGCUUCGUCAUUCAUGUUUGACAGGUCACAGACAAGACCGCGUUACUCUGGAGGCCUACACAGGAAAUCUGAUCGCAAUGCUGCUUUUACACACACUGAAAAAAAUCCUUCAUUGGAUAAACUUAUACUUUUAUGACUAUAUCUUACAGGUAUUCUCAAUUGAAAAAAAUUUGGUUAAUUCAAAUGAAUACAUGAAUAAUCGUGAUAUUCAAUGCAUAGAGACCAUUAAAUGUUCUGUUCAGAGGGGCCCCUACUGUCAUUGUCUUUCAGUAAACUCUAAAAACUUAAACCCUGAUUUACUCAAUUGUAUUGCUGUAACAUUGAGUCAAUUUUAGCUUUGAAAUCAUGUAACAUAUCCAUUAAAAAUGGAGUGAAUGUAACUGAUAACUUGAGGUAGUUUUGAUUAAUAAAAAGUAGUACCAUGAAAAAUAAAAUUGAAGCUAUCACUGAAAUCCUGUGUAGGUACUAUAGAAAACCAUAGUGCAUCCAAAUGAGUAUGGUCUGGUCUGUUUUGAAUAAACCCAAUUCAUUGCCAUAUCCCUUCAAAGUCCAUAUGCCUAUGAGAACAUUAUUAUUAAGCACAAUGCAAGGGGGUCCUUCCCACAUGUGGCAAAUGAAUUCACCCUUACCUGAAUAACUACCAAC
Long non-coding RNA from Anguilla anguilla (European eel), 1215 nucleotides. RefSeq lists it as uncharacterized. Lineage: Eukaryota; Metazoa; Chordata; Actinopteri; Anguilliformes; Anguillidae. The record is from RefSeq and is a predicted model, not a curated record. The transcript is spliced from 3 exons.